Molecule: ribosomal RNA, 270 nt
Filed under: uncultured archaeon
Lineage: Archaea
Description: partial 16S ribosomal RNA
Rfam family: Archaeal small subunit ribosomal RNA
Source: RNAcentral
CAGCACCUCAAGUGGUCAGGAUGAUUAUUGGGCCUAAAGCAUCCGUAGCCGGCGCUGUAAGUUUUCGGUUAAAUCUGUACGCUCAACGUACAGGCUGCCGGGAAUACUGCAGCGCUAGGGAGUGGGAGAGGUAGACGGUACUCGGUAGGAAGGGGUAAAAUCCUUUGAUCUAUUGAUGACCACCUGUGGCGAAGGCGGUCUUCCAGAACACGUCCGACGGUGAGGGAUGAAAGCUGGGGGAGCAAACCGGAUUAGAUACCCGAGUAGUCC